AGUGAUGUGGAACAAGAGGUAGUUCCUGAGGCUCAUACCCUCAGUGUUGAUGGUUCGAGUCCAUCCAUCACUC
Non-coding RNA from Tritrichomonas musculus, 73 nucleotides. The record is from the annotation of a GenBank genome assembly. Lineage: Eukaryota; Parabasalia; Tritrichomonadida; Tritrichomonadidae.